GUGGGAUUGAACUCGGGGUGAAUUCCUCAGGGCGGAAAUUUCAGGGUGAAAUCCGGGAUGGAACUCAGGACAAACCCAGAGUGACCCCAAACCCUGCAGGGAUUUUGGUGUCCAGGGAAUGGGAUCAUUCCCGGUUAUCCCAAGGUCUUCCCUGGAUCCUGGAAUUCCCAUCGGGAUCGCUCCCGGCCCCGCCCCCGCUGCCCUUUGGCCACCUGGAAAAAUUCCCGAUUUUCCGUCGGCGCCGCUCCCUGCUCAGCCGUGGCUGCUCCCGGGAAACAAAA
Molecule: long non-coding RNA, 281 nt
Filed under: Serinus canaria (Common canary)
Lineage: Eukaryota; Metazoa; Chordata; Aves; Passeriformes; Fringillidae
Description: lncRNA (ENSSCAG00000015859.1)
Source: RNAcentral